UAGUUUGAUCCUGGCUCAGGAUGAACGCUAGCGGCAGGCCUAAUACAUGCAAGUCGGACGGGAUUCGGUCUUUCGGGAUUGAUGAGAGUGGCGCACGGGUGCGUAACGCGUAUGCAACCUGGCCCAUACAGGGGGAUAGCCCGGGGAAACCCGGAUUAAUACCCCAUUGCAAGAUGCUGCCGCAUGGCAGUGUAUUUAAAGCCUUCGGGCGGUAUGGGAUGGGCAUGCGUAGGAUUAGUUAGUUGGCGGGGUAACGGCCCACCAAGACUGUGAUCCUUAGGGGUUCUGAGAGGAAGGUCCCCCACACUGGCACUGAGAUACGGGCCAGACUCCUACGGGAGGCAGCAGUAGGGAAUAUUGGGCAAUGGGCGGAAGCCUGACCCAGCCAUGCCGCGUGCAGGAAGACGGCGUUAUGCGUUGUAAACUGCUUUUAUCCGGAAAGAAAAAGGCACUGCGGUGCCAACUGACGGUACCGGAUGAAUAAGCACCGGCUAACUCCGUGCCAGCAGCCGCGGUAAUACGGAGGGUGCAAGCGUUGUCCGGAUUUAUUGGGUUUAAAGGGUGCGUAGGCGGCUUUGUAAGUCAGCGGUGAAAGUUUCCGGCUCAACCGGGGGACUGCCGUUGAUACUGCCGGGCUUGAGUGCUGAUGGGGUACAUGGAAUUUAUGGUGUAGCGGUGAAAUGCAUAGAUACCAUAAGGAACACCGAUGGCGAAGGCAUUGUACUUAUCAGCAACUGACGCUGAGGCACG
Molecule: ribosomal RNA, 750 nt
Filed under: uncultured bacterium
Lineage: Bacteria
Description: bacterial SSU rRNA
Rfam family: Bacterial small subunit ribosomal RNA
Source: RNAcentral